RNAcentral lists this unclassified non-coding RNA (1490 nucleotides) under Hevea brasiliensis (rubber tree). Lineage: Eukaryota; Viridiplantae; Streptophyta; Magnoliopsida; Malpighiales; Euphorbiaceae. The record is from RNAcentral.
GGAACACGUCUUCAUAUAUUAUUAGGGCUAAAAAGAGUGGUGGUAUUGCUUCUUUGGUGUCUCCUUGUCCUGUGACUCCUGCUGUCUUGCCCACUCCGAUGUUUUCUCCAUCUAGGGAAGUGUUGAUAGAUAUGGCGAAAGAGGAGUGGGGAGUGGAUGGGUAUGGAUCGAUGAAUGGGUUGAUUAGACUGAGGUCGCCAGGUCACGAGGCAGAAGGACCUGAGGAUGAGGAAGAAGAGGAGGGAGGAUCAAGUGAGAGUGAUGUGGAAGAACAUGUGGAGGUUGAAAGGCGGUUGGAUCAUGAUUUGAGCAGGUUUGAGAUGAUUUACCCAAACUAUAGCGGGACAGAGUAUAACAAUGUGUUGGGUAACCGUGUGGAUGAUCAGGAUACCCAUAUUGCUCAAUUGGAGGAAGAGAACUUGAUUUUGAAGGAUAGAUUGUUCUUGAUGGAGAGGGAGUUGGGUGAUUUGAGGAGGAGGUUGCUGAGUCUUGAGAGGCAAGGCCGUGGCUAUGAUGAGAUGAAUGAGGAGGUUGUGGAGAAUGAGACUGAGAGUGAGACUGAGAGUCAUGGCGAUGGCCAUUCUUUGGAGGAUAACAAUGCUGAACUGAUUGAAAGGCCCAUGGAAGGAGUUGGGAAUGUGAAGGGGAAUGAAGAGAAUAGGAUUGAGGAUGACACAGAGUUUGCAGAAAAUGAAGAGAGAGUUGGAAAAGAAAGGGAACAGGUUGAUGGAGAUGAUGUGACUGUUGAAAAGGAAUCCAAUGAAGUUGGAAAAGAAGAUGAAGUUGAUGGAGGAGAUGGUAUGUUCGGACUCCUUAAGAAGGAAAUCAUUGACAAUCCUGAAAGCAAGAGUGAAUUUAAAGAUGAUGGAGCCGUGAAAACUGGGGAUGAGGUUGAGUUCAGUCAAUUGAACAAGAACAAUGAAAAUGAGGUUGAGGCAUCGGAUAAUGCAAUUGAUGAAGAUGUUACCAUGGAGGAGGCUUCUAGAGUGGAUGUUGAUGAAGAUUCCCAAACAAAGAAUGAGGAUGAAUUGACAGGAGAUAAAUGAUGAAGAGCAUUUUCGAAGGUGACUUGUCUAAGUUUCCCUCAUCAAUGUACGUCUCUUCUUUGAGAAGCUUCCAUGUUGACUUGUGUGAUUAUUUGUCACCAUUUUCGAUAUAUCUGUACUGCAGUACAUAAUGUUUACCGUUCUUCUGACAGUGGCAAAGAGAAUCAAAUCUUCCUGUUGAGUUUCACCUAAUAAAGUGCUAACAUAGUUACUUCUUUAGGUGUUCUCAAUCUUUUCCUUUUCCUUACUUUAAUGUCUAGUUUUUUGGCAGCUGUUUGUAGAAGGGAAGUCUAGGUGUUAUGAAAGGUUAGAUACUGUGUUGCUUGAUACAAAGAUACAGCUAUGUAAUAAUCUCUUUUUAAUUGGAUUUGGAAAUUUUCAUAUUAUUCAUGUCAUGUGCUUAUUAUCGGUUUAAUGUUGUAUUUAGCAUGGUUGUCCCCCCGG